Molecule: ribosomal RNA, 249 nt
Filed under: uncultured Solibacillus sp.
Lineage: Bacteria; Bacillati; Bacillota; Bacilli; Caryophanales; Caryophanaceae
Description: partial 16S ribosomal RNA
Rfam family: Bacterial small subunit ribosomal RNA
Source: RNAcentral
CACGCCGUAAACGAUGAGUGCUAAGUGUUGGGGGGUUUCCGCCCCUCAGUGCUGCAGCUAACGCAUUAAGCACUCCGCCUGGGGAGUACGGUCGCAAGACUGAAACUCAAAGGAAUUGACGGGGGCCCGCACAAGCGGUGGAGCAUGUGGUUUAAUUCGAAGCAACGCGAAGAACCUUACCAGGUCUUGACAUCCCGGUGACCACUAUGGAGACAUAGUUUCCCCUUCGGGGGCAACGGUGACAGGUGG